CUCCAGUCCGGUUAGUGGCGGUUAUGCACUUCAUACGAGUAUGGCAACCACCAAUAGAAACCAACAGAAGAAGAAUGUGCUUUUUGAGUGGCAUGGGCGGAGCCAUCUCUACUCACCUGUUCUUGAUCCAGCAGUAACGAGGCUCCUGUGAGACAGCCAUUCUGUUGACUUUGAUACCUAMCUGUUGGAAACCCUCACCUCUACGGCCUGCUCGAGCCUCUUUGUUGGAUCUUAUAGUGCAAGAUGAGGACCAAAAUUAAGGCAACCAAUUCAAAAAUGUUUGUGUCUAUUAAAGUAGGUGAGCAGCCUAGGCAUGCUAGUCGCUAACCACUCCAGUGCUAAUGC
Long non-coding RNA from Austrofundulus limnaeus, 345 nucleotides. RefSeq lists it as uncharacterized. The transcript has 3 exons. Lineage: Eukaryota; Metazoa; Chordata; Actinopteri; Cyprinodontiformes; Rivulidae. The record is from RefSeq and is a predicted model, not a curated record.